UACAGGGGGGGCAAGCGUUGUUCGGAAUUACUGGGCGUAAAGGGUUCGUAGGUGGCUUACUAAGUCAAACGUGAAAUCCCUCAGCUUAACUGGGGAACUGCGUCUGAUACUGGAAAGCUUGAGUGCAGGAGAGGAACGCGGAAUUCCAGGUGUAGCGGUGAAAUGCGUAGAUAUCUGGAGGAACACCGGUGGCGAAGGCGGCGUUCUGGACUGCAACUGACACUGAUGGACGAAAGCCAGGGGAGCAAACGGG
RNAcentral lists this ribosomal RNA (253 nucleotides) under uncultured bacterium. Its description in RNAcentral is "partial 16S ribosomal RNA". It matches the Rfam family "Bacterial small subunit ribosomal RNA", at positions 524 to 776 of the family's 1533-position model. The record is from RNAcentral.